This 270-nucleotide ribosomal RNA is filed under the name uncultured archaeon. Its description in RNAcentral is "partial 16S ribosomal RNA". It matches the Rfam family "Archaeal small subunit ribosomal RNA", at positions 477 to 747 of the family's 1478-position model. The record is from RNAcentral.
CUGCAGCUCAAGUGGUGACCGCUAUUAUUGGGCCUAAAACGUUCGUAGCCGGCUGAGUAAAUGCUUGGGUAAAUCGUGCCGCUUAACGGUACGAAUUCCGGGUAGACUACUCAGCUUGAGACCGGGAGAAGCUAGAGGUACUCCUGGGGUAGAGGUGAAAUUCUGUAAUCCUGGGGGGACCACCAGUGGCGAAGGCGUCUAGCUAGAACGGGUCUGACGGUGAGGGACGAAGCCCUGGGGCGCAAACCGGAUUAGAUACCCGAGUAGUCC